GUGCCAGCAGCGGCGGUAAUACGGAGGGUGCAAGCGUUAAUCGGAAUUACUGGGCGUAAAGCGCACGCAGGCGGUCAAUUAAGUCAGAUGUGAAAGCCCCGAGCUUAACUUGGGAAUUGCAUCUGAAACUGGUUGGCUAGAGUCUUGUAGAGGGGGUAGAAUUCCAUGUGUAGCGGUGAAAUGCGUAGAGAUGUGGAGGAAUACCGGUGGCGAAGGCGGCCCCCUGGACAAAGACUGACGCUCAGGUGCGAAAGCGUGGGAGCAAACGAGGAUUAGAUACCCUGGUAGUCCACGCUGUAAACGAUGUCGAUUUAGAGGUUAGUGGUCUUGAACCGUGGCUUCUGGAGCUAACGCGUUAAAUC
This 362-nucleotide ribosomal RNA is filed under the name uncultured Proteus sp. RNAcentral's name for it is "bacterial SSU rRNA". It matches the Rfam family "Bacterial small subunit ribosomal RNA", at positions 505 to 866 of the family's 1533-position model. The record is from RNAcentral. Lineage: Bacteria; Pseudomonadati; Pseudomonadota; Gammaproteobacteria; Enterobacterales; Morganellaceae.